CAUCAUUCUCUCCAUUGGAAAUUCGAAGGGGUGUUUCUCUCAAAUCUUGGUCAAUUCUCUUGAAGAUAUCAUUUCAGCUUCGUGUUGUCUUCUCAGUUGUUUUCGUUCAUGAGUGAUCCCUUUCUUGCUAACCGGUGCAUUUCACAUUUGUUUCAUUGUCGACCCUCUGAAGGCCAUCACUUUAGAAGAAUCUUCGUUCUCAGCUUUCAGCUUUCAUCCUCAAUUCUUCUCAAUUGUUGUCUCUUCGUUCGUCUCUCAAAUAUUCUGGUGCCUUGUUCUAGUUUUUCUCUCAGGUGGCUCA
This 301-nucleotide long non-coding RNA is filed under the name Hordeum vulgare. Its description in RNAcentral is "long non-coding RNA (HVUL_LNC015758)". Lineage: Eukaryota; Viridiplantae; Streptophyta; Magnoliopsida; Poales; Poaceae. The record is from RNAcentral.